This 781-nucleotide ribosomal RNA is filed under the name Brachyteles arachnoides (woolly spider monkey). Its description in RNAcentral is "partial large subunit ribosomal RNA". The stretch from base 1 to 677 matches the Rfam family "Bacterial large subunit ribosomal RNA", at positions 1685 to 2925 of the family's 2925-position model. Lineage: Eukaryota; Metazoa; Chordata; Mammalia; Primates; Atelidae. The record is from RNAcentral.
CAGGAAAGAUUAAAAGAAGUAAAAGGAACUCGGCAAACUCUACCCCCGCCUGUUUACCAAAAACAUCACCUCUAGCAUUACUAGUAUUAGAGGCACUGCCUGCCCAGUGACAUGUGUUCAACGGCCGCGGUACCCUGACCGUGCAAAGGUAGCAUAAUCACUUGUUCUCUAAAUAAGGACUUGUAUGAAUGGCCACACGAGGGUUUAACUGUCUCUUACUUCUAAUCAGUGAAAUUGACCUAUCCGUGAAGAGGCGGAUAUAACCAAAUAAGACGAGAAGACCCUAUGGAGCUUCAAUUUAAUAAUGCAAACUAAUAACUUAAAAACCAACAGGCACCAAUCCACCGUGUAUGUAUUAUAAACUUUGGUUGGGGUGACCUCGGAGCAUAACAUAACCUCCGAAAGACAUAUACCAAGACUUAACCAGUCUAAGUAAACUUAUAACCAUUGACCCAAUAACUUGAUCAACGGACUAAGUUACCCUAGGGAUAACAGCGCAAUCCUACUCUAGAGUCCAUAUCGACAGUAGGGUUUACGACCUCGAUGUUGGAUCAAGACAUCCUAAUGGUGCAGCCGCUAUUAAGGGUUCGUUUGUUCAACGAUUAAAGUCUUACGUGAUCUGAGUUCAGACCGGAGAAAUCCAGGUCGGUUUCUAUCUAUUAAAUAUUCCUCCCAGUACGAAAGGAUAAGAGAAAUAGAGCCUACUUCACAAAGCGCCCUCAUAAAUAAAAUGACUAUUAUCUCAAUUUAACAAACUACUACCUCAACCCAAGAACAGGGC